UUUCUUCUUAUUCUUCUUCUUCUUUGAUGCGGCACACAACAUAUUUAAGUUAACCUUUUUUUUUUAAAUUAAAAACACGCCUUUCUUCUCUGAAUUUCCGGUUCUCCAUAUUUGAGAAAAUGGCCCAGAAACGUCUCGCCAACGUUUCUUCAUUUUUUACACGGGGAAACUCCACCCGUUGCCAUUUCCAUGCAUCAUAGACGAUCAUAGAUAACGGAAAUAAGCCUAUAAUGGCCGUAACUUAAUGAUAACUGCCUAUUGCUAUGCAAUUUGUUUUGAAAAUUUUACAAAAGUUCAUGCAAUUAAUAUAUUUUUAAAAAUAUAAGUAAAACUAAGAUACA
RNAcentral lists this unclassified non-coding RNA (341 nucleotides) under Hevea brasiliensis (rubber tree). Lineage: Eukaryota; Viridiplantae; Streptophyta; Magnoliopsida; Malpighiales; Euphorbiaceae. The record is from RNAcentral.